Molecule: long non-coding RNA, 510 nt
Organism: Pyrus x bretschneideri (Chinese white pear)
Lineage: Eukaryota; Viridiplantae; Streptophyta; Magnoliopsida; Rosales; Rosaceae
Exons: 3
Source: RefSeq, a predicted model, not a curated record
UGUUGAGAGGUUCCUCACCUUUGACUCGGGAGAGGAUGCUAAUCCUAAUAAAAAUCCUUUGGGAGGGUCCUCCCAGAAUACGGCCGAUGGCGUCCUGAGACGGUUCCGACCUCAUCGUUUCGAGUCCUACUCCGCCUCUGCGGGCGAAAUGCCGGUGUCUUGCCAACUUUCGGAUGCCCCAUGGGACUAUGCGCAACCAGCGGGAAGCUGCCUGGAGGAGGAAGCACCGACGAGCUUUCUUAAAUAUGAAAUCAGUGACUGAAUUCAAGGUUUUAGGAAGGGUUUGAGACAUACUCUUUCUCCGAUUGCCACUCCUCCUUUGUAUGCUACAAUGAAAGCCAGCGUUCAUUCCAUUCAAUUCCAUUCCGGUGAUCAUUCCAGCAACUAAACACUACAAGCGGGUAGAAAGUGUUUUGGCAUCUUACGGGUUGAAAUGACUGCAGCAUCAGAUGUAGCAUCCUGCAUUAUGAACUUUCGAAUCCGAGUCCUGUCAUUUCGAGCAUAAUAUGU